CACCUGCUGAAUUUAAGCAUAUAAGUAAGCGGAGGACAAGAAACUAAACAGGAUCCCCAUAGUAAUGGCGAAUGAGCGGGGAUAAACUCAGCAUGGAAAUUGGGGCCUUUGGCUUUGACUUGUAAUCUGGUGAGGCAUUGCCAACAGAGGCGCAUAUGUAAGUCUCUUGGAAAAGAGCAUCAACGAAGGUGAGAGUCCUGAUUGUCAUGUGCAGCCCCCCUGUGCACGGUGUGCCUUCUAAGAGUCACGUUCCUUGGGAUUGGAGCGCAAAUUGGGUGGUAACUUUCAUCUGAAGUUAAACAAUGGUUUGGGACCGAUAGGAAACAAGUGCCAUGAGGGAAAGGUGAAAAGGACUUUGGAAAGAGAGUUAAAAGUGCCUGAAAUUGCUGAAGGGGAAGCGAAUGGAACCAGUGGUGCUGGGUGAGAUUGUCACAUGCUGCAAGGAUUGGUUGCUGCCACAACGCAAGUGUGCUGGCAAUUUGUGAACUGCUAGUGUGUGGUGUGUCUUACCUAGUGGGUCAUUGUGGGUUUAUGCAUUAAGAUAAAUCAAAGCAAGCGGGAGCAAGUUUACGAGUUUGUGAAUGUGUGUUGUUAUGCUUGUGCGUAAGCUUUAGUGUUUGUCUGGCUGCAGGGCUGUCCAUCCUCAAGCUUUGCUGUGGUUGCGAUGAGCAUAACCUUCUGCACAGAUCUUGACGAAAUGGUUUCAUUCGACCCGUCUUGAAACACGGACCAAGG
This 735-nucleotide ribosomal RNA is filed under the name Dinophysis dens. Its description in RNAcentral is "eukaryotic LSU rRNA". It matches the Rfam family "Eukaryotic large subunit ribosomal RNA", at positions 23 to 671 of the family's 3401-position model. Lineage: Eukaryota; Dinophyceae; Dinophysales; Dinophysaceae. The record is from RNAcentral.